UGACGGUACCUGACUAAGAAGCCCCGGCUAACUACGUGCCAGCAGCCGCGGUAAUACGUAGGGGGCAAGCGUUAUCCGGAUUUACUGGGUGUAAAGGGAGCGUAGACGGCUUUGCAAGUCUGAAGUGAAAGCCCGGGGCUCAACCCCGGAACUGCUUUGGAAACUGUAGAGCUAGAGUGCAGGAGAGGUAAGUGGAAUUCCUAGUGUAGCGGUGAAAUGCGUAGAUAUUAGGAGGAACACCAGUGGCGAAGGCGGCUUACUGGACUGUAACUGACGCUGAGGCGCGAAAGCGUGGGUAGCAAACAGGAUUAGAUACCCUG
This 320-nucleotide ribosomal RNA is filed under the name uncultured bacterium. RNAcentral's name for it is "bacterial SSU rRNA". It matches the Rfam family "Bacterial small subunit ribosomal RNA", at positions 470 to 789 of the family's 1533-position model. The record is from RNAcentral.